GUUUAGGAGGACACAAAUUUGUAUAAUGACAUGGGUAUGACAAUGAGAAGGUAAUUUAUGAGGACAAUUUCAGCAUCCCCAUAAUUCAAAAGGCUUAUAAAUAAUUCAGAAUGAGUUUUUUUUUGAAAAUCUAUAAUUGCAGAAAGUUUCCUGUGAGGUUUAGGUGUAGGGUGAUAGAAAAUACGCUUUGUACAGUAUAAAAACUAUUAUGCCUAUGGAGAGUCCCCAUAAACCAUAAAAACCAACGUGUGUGUGUGUGUGUGUGUACACAUUUGGUGAAGUUUCGGUAGACUUUUUUUUUGAUUGUUAUUCCCUAAAAUUGUCACUACCGAAACAGUCACAAACAUGUUGCACUGUUUCGGUAGUGACAACACAUAAUCCUUUAUCUGGGGGGAGUAAAUAAACAACAUUUUAAUACAGUUACGCAAAUGUUUAGUAUUUUCAUAUGUUUUAGUAGUGUUUUAAAAUUCUGUAAUUUGAUGUGGUCCCUACCGAAACAUUACUGUCACUACCGAAACAUUACUGUCACUACCAAAACAUUACCGUCACUACCAAACCAUUACUGUCACUACCAAAACAUUACUGUCCCUACCGAAACAUUACUGUCCCUACCGAAACAUGGGAUGUUCUAAGAUUAUGAUUGUGUUUGGCUGAAUGCAUAUUCAAACGAAUGAAUCCAUAACUUUGAAAACAGUACGAUCAACUUUACAAACAAACACUGGAUUCAAAAUAAAACAAAUCACACUUGAAAUACUCAUAAAAUGGUUAUUGUUUUUGAGUUACCUCUAAAAGCCUUUUAGUAAAACAGCAAACAUGUAUUUACAAGGUAGAUGUAAACAAACUCUUAAUAGGUCAGUAUAGCCCUUCUUAUUAAAUGAUACAUUAUUGUGUGACAAAUUUGGGGAGAGGAAAAAUAUUCCAAAACUUUUCGAAAAUACAAUAUGAGAAUUAAUUGCACAAUUAUAUAUUAUAAAAUUUGCAUACGUACAAAAUUUGAGGAAAAGACACAUUUUGUUUCCAACGUCCCAUAUAUAAAUAUUGUGGACGUUACACGUUAUUAUAUGGGAUCGUCACCAUGCAUUGACCCUUGAACAAAGACACAGGACUGAUGUCACUGACGCCUGUGGCAGAUGUAGUGCCCCAGUUAAACAGCACCUUUACUAGGGAGGGUCAGCAGUGGCCAGAUUAGUUAAGCGCAUCUGUCCUCGGCUCGUAACUGUUGCCAUGGCAACGCCAUAGGCGUCAACGUUAACUAAAUCUGGUUUACAUCACGCUUAUCGACUCAUAAAGCUCACUGAGCAGAUUGAGAUUAUCUAAAACAAUACCGCGUUUACGUCGCUUGCGAAUUAAGUCUAAUUUAAGAUGAUAUUAGGUGCAGAAUUAAGACUUAACUCGCCUCGUAUGAUGUUAGAAUAAAUCAGCAUCGUUAAAAACCGACGAUGGCCUCGAAGGGUGUCUCAAAUCAUGCACGUAAAAGCGAAAUCCGCACAGAAAAGCCACGAUCUCCAUUCGUUUGCAUGCAUCGAGACGACAGAUGACGGUCUUACCAGGGUCUUCGCCACGUUCCCCCUCUGAGUGAUGUUUUUGCUGUGCUUCUCGUUUGCCAUGCGGAUCCUUUGUUUUGCUACCAUCUUCCGAGCCAGCGUAUAGGUAUAAAAUAAUCGCUACUGUAAAUCAAACAGGCCUGUAUUGCUUUAUGUGAGGUGACGCUUCAGUCCCCUUCCCUGCACCUGCUCCCCUAAACCGAAUUAUGCGGGACGGAAGUGCGCCUCCAUGUAGAAUAAUAACGUCUUGAGGGACACGCGCUCCCUGUUCAUCUCCCAGCUCUAUUAAACUACCCAUAUUUUUAUUUCUUGCUAAUAUUUUUGUAUUUACAAAUUAAGUAAAA
Molecule: long non-coding RNA, 1888 nt
Organism: Cyprinus carpio carpio
Lineage: Eukaryota; Metazoa; Chordata; Actinopteri; Cypriniformes; Cyprinidae
Source: Ensembl